RNAcentral lists this ribosomal RNA (429 nucleotides) under Bacteroidota bacterium. Its description in RNAcentral is "Bacteroidetes bacterium partial 16S ribosomal RNA". It matches the Rfam family "Bacterial small subunit ribosomal RNA", at positions 355 to 776 of the family's 1533-position model. The record is from RNAcentral. Lineage: Bacteria; Pseudomonadati; Bacteroidota.
UAGGGAAUCUUCCGCAAUGGACGCAAGUCUGACGGAGCAACGCCGCGUGAGUGAAGAAGGAUUUCGGUUCGUAAAACUCUGUUGUUAGAGAAGAACAGCGCAUAGAGUAACUGUUAUGCGUGUGACGGUAUCUAACCAGAAAGCCACGGCUAACUACGUGCCAGCAGCCGCGGUAAUACGUAGGUGGCAAGCGUUGUCCGGAUUUAUUGGGCGUAAAGCGAGCGCAGGCGGUCAAUUAAGUCUGAUGUGAAAGCCCCCGGCUCAACCGGGGAGGGUCAUUGGAAACUGGUUGACUUGAGUGCAGAAGGGGAGAGUGGAAUUCCAUGUGUAGCGGUGAAAUGCAUAGAUAUAUGGAGGAACACCAGUGGCGAAGGCGACUCUCUGGUCUGUAACUGACGCUGAGGUUCGAAAGCGUGGGUAGCAAACAGG